This 501-nucleotide ribosomal RNA is filed under the name uncultured bacterium. Its description in RNAcentral is "partial 16S ribosomal RNA". It matches the Rfam family "Bacterial small subunit ribosomal RNA", at positions 29 to 523 of the family's 1533-position model. The record is from RNAcentral.
AUUGAACGCUGGCGGCAUGCCUUACACAUGCAAGUCGAACGGCAGCAUGGGUGCUUGCACCUGGUGGCGAGUGGCGAACGGGUGAGUAAUACAUCGGAACGUACCUUAUCGUGGGGGAUAACGCAGCGAAAGCUGUGCUAAUACCGCAUACGCCCUGAGGGGGAAAGCGGGGGAUCGAAAGACCUCGCGCGAUUAGAGCGGCCGAUGCCUGAUUAGCUUGUUGGUGGGGUAAAAGCCCACCAAGGCGACGAUCAGUAGCUGGUCUGAGAGGACGAUCAGCCACACUGGGACUGAGACACGGCCCAGACUCCUACGGGAGGCGGCAGUGGGGAAUUUUGGACAAUGGGGGCAACCCUGAUCCAGCAAUGCCGCGUGAGUGAAGAAGGCCUUCGGGUUGUAAAGCUCUUUUGUCAGGGAAGAAACACCGGCUCUAACACAGUCCGGGAAUGACGGUACCUGAAGAAUAAGCACCGGCUAACUACGUGCCAGCAGCCGCGGUAA